Molecule: non-coding RNA, 23 nt
Filed under: Rattus norvegicus (Norway rat)
Lineage: Eukaryota; Metazoa; Chordata; Mammalia; Rodentia; Muridae
Source: RNAcentral
UGAAGGUUACACUGUGGACGUGU